AUGGACAACAGCGCGCCGCCGGUGAUCAUCGUUGGGGCGGGGCCGUCGGGGCUGGCUGCGUCGGCGUGCCUGGCUCGGCGCGGGGUGGAUAGCAUCGUCCUGGAGCGGGACGACUGCGUCGGCUCGCUGUGGCAGAAGCGCGCCUACGACCGCCUCCACCUGCACCUCCCCAAGCAGGCGAGCGCGCUCCCCCACCUGCCGCACGACGACGACGCGCCGGCCUACCUCCCCCGCGACCACUUCGUCCGCUACCUCGACGCCUAUGCCGACCGCUUCGCCGUGCGCGCGCGCCUCCGCCUCCGCCGCGAGGUCCGCUCGGCGCGCUUCGUGGACGGCCGGUGGGAGGUGGAGGCCGUCAACCUCGCCACCGGCGAUGCGGAGCAGUACACGGCGAGGUUCCUGGUGGUGGCCACGGGGGAGUUCGACGAGAAGGUGCUGCCCGAGGUGCCCGGGCUGGACACGUUCCAUGGCGAGGCCAUCCACGCCGGCGAGUACCGGUCCGGCGAGGGGAUGCGGGGAAAGGAAGUGCUCGUCGUCGGCUGCGGCAACUCUGGAAUGGAGAUCGCCCUGGACCUGGCCCAGGCCGGCGCCGCGGCCUCCAUCGUCGUCCGCGGCGAGCUCCACCUCAUGACGAGGGAGAUCAUGAACGCGUCCACGGCGCUGUUCGCCUACCUGCCCGUCUGGAUGAUCGACCGGCUGGCGUUGUUCGCGUGCCGCGUCGUGUUCGGCGAUACGGCCAGGCACGGCCUCCGGCGGCCUGACGUUGGGCCCUUCACCAGAAAGAUCCAGAGCAACGUCUACCCAGUCAUCGACGUCGGCACCUACGACAAGAUCAAGAGCGGCCAGAUCAAGGUGCUGCCGGCGAUCACGAGCAUCGAAGGGGACGUCGUGGAGUUCGCUGGCGGUGAGCGUCGCCGCUUCGACGCCAUCGUCUUCGCCACCGGGUACCGCAGCACGGCAAAAAAGUGGCUCAAGGUUCGAUCACUAAUGUCUCAUGCCAAGAAUGAACCAAUUUAA
RNAcentral lists this ribosomal RNA (1017 nucleotides) under Triticum aestivum (bread wheat). RNAcentral describes it as "partial small subunit ribosomal RNA". The record is from RNAcentral. Lineage: Eukaryota; Viridiplantae; Streptophyta; Magnoliopsida; Poales; Poaceae.